Molecule: ribosomal RNA, 497 nt
Filed under: uncultured bacterium
Lineage: Bacteria
Description: partial 16S ribosomal RNA
Rfam family: Bacterial small subunit ribosomal RNA
Source: RNAcentral
GACGAACGCUGGCGGCGUGCCUAAUACAUGCAAGUAGAACGCUGAAGCUUGGUGCUUGCACCGAGCGGAUGAGUUGCGAACGGGUGAGUAACGCGUAGGUAACCUGCCUGGUAGCGGGGGAUAACUAUUGGAAACGAUAGCUAAUACCGCAUAAGAGUAGAUGUUGCAUGACAUUUGCUUAAAAGGUGCAAUUGCAUCACUACCAGAUGGACCUGCGUUGUAUUAGCUAGUUGGUGAGGUAACGGCUCACCAAGGCAACGAUACAUAGCCGACCUGAGAGGGUGAUCGGCCACACUGGGACUGAGACACGGCCCAGACUCCUACGGGAGGCAGCAGUAGGGAAUCUUCGGCAAUGGACGGAAGUCUGACCGAGCAACGCCGCGUGAGUGAAGAAGGGUUUCGGAUCGUAAAGCUCGGUUGUAAGAGAAGAACGAGUGUGAGAGUGGAAAGUUCACACUGUGACGGUAUCUUACCAGAAAGGGGCGGCUAACUACGUG